GCGACGACAACAGAAGGCAACAACAUGAAGGCUAUCGUAUACCUUUUAGUGGUGCUGGCUGUGGUGUGUACAGCCCUGGCGGUGCCUGGCCCAGCGCCCUUCCCGCGCCCUGGCCCUAUUCAAGUGGCUGCUGAGCCCAGAGAGACUCUCCGUGGCAGCGAACAGUACUACUACUACUACCCCUAUGUCUAUGGAUAAACUUGGAUCGAAUCACCUCGAGCUGUUAAUAAUGGAUUUAUCGACUUGGCACUGAAAUGAAACUUCUCCUGGCCAUUUUCUCCAUGUUUGUUAUAUUCUUAAUGUUCUCACUCACCCAAUAAAUUUCAUUUCUUCUUUCACAA
RNAcentral lists this long non-coding RNA (341 nucleotides) under Schistocerca americana (American grasshopper). Its description in RNAcentral is "uncharacterized LOC124607129, transcript variant X2". Lineage: Eukaryota; Metazoa; Arthropoda; Insecta; Orthoptera; Acrididae. The record is from RNAcentral.